Molecule: ribosomal RNA, 492 nt
Filed under: uncultured bacterium
Lineage: Bacteria
Description: partial 16S ribosomal RNA
Rfam family: Bacterial small subunit ribosomal RNA
Source: RNAcentral
AGUGAACGCUGGCGGUAGGCCUAACACAUGCAAGUCGAACGGCAGCACAGUAAGAGCUUGCUCUUACGGGUGGCGAGUGGCGGACGGGUGAGGAAUACAUCGGAAUCUACUUUUUCGUGGGGGAUAACGUAGGAAAACUUACGCUAAUACCGCAUACGACCUACGGGUGAAAGCAGGGGAUCUUCGGACCUUGCGCGAUUGAAUGAGCCGAUGUCGGAUUAGCUAGUUGGCGGGGUAAAGGCCCACCAAGGCGACGAUCCGUAGCUGGUCUGAGAGGAUGAUCAGCCACACUGGAACUGAGACACGGUCCAGACUCCUACGGGAGGCAGCAGUGGGGAAUAUUGGACAAUGGGCGCAAGCCUGAUCCAGCGAUACCGCGUGGGUGAAGAAGGCCUUCGGGUUGUAAAGCCCUUUUGUUGGGAAAGAAAAGCAGCAGGUUAAUACCCCGCUGUUCUGACGGUACCCAAAGAAUAAGCACCGGCUAACUUCGUG